GAUGAAGAACGUAGCGAAAUGCGAUAAGUAAUGUGAAUUGCAGAAUUCAGUGAAUCAUCGAAUCUUUGAACGCACAUUGUGCCCCCUGGUAUUCCGGGGGGCAUGCCUGUCCGAGCGUCAUUACAACCCUCAAGCUCAGCUUGGUAUUGGGCCCCGCCGCUCCGGCGGGCCCUAAAGUCAGUGGCGGUGCCGUCCGGCUCCGAGCGUAGUAAUUCUUCUCGCUCUGGAGGUCCGGUCGUGUGCUCGCCAGCAACCCCCAAUUUUUUUCAGGUUGACCUCGGAUCAGGUAGGGAUACCCGCUGAACUUAAGCAUAUCAAUAAGCGGAGGA
RNAcentral lists this unclassified non-coding RNA (329 nucleotides) under soil metagenome. Its description in RNAcentral is "partial contains 5.8S ribosomal RNA, internal transcribed spacer 2, and large subunit ribosomal RNA". The stretch from base 1 to 120 matches the Rfam family "5.8S ribosomal RNA", at positions 35 to 154 of the family's 154-position model. The record is from RNAcentral.